Molecule: ribosomal RNA, 253 nt
Filed under: uncultured bacterium
Lineage: Bacteria
Description: partial 16S ribosomal RNA
Rfam family: Bacterial small subunit ribosomal RNA
Source: RNAcentral
UACGAAGGGGGCUAGCGUUGCUCGGAAUCACUGGGCGUAAAGGGUGCGUAGGCGGGUCUUAAGUCAGGGGUGAAAUCCUGGAGCUCAACUCCAGAACUGCCUUUGAUACUGAGGAUCUUGAGUAUGGGAGAGGUGAGUGGAACUGCGAGUGUAGAGGUGAAAUUCGUAGAUAUUCGCAAGAACACCAGUGGCGAAGGCGGCUUUCUGGACGGUAACUGACGCCGAGACGCGAAAGCGUGGGGAGCAAACAGGG